This 407-nucleotide ribosomal RNA is filed under the name uncultured bacterium. RNAcentral describes it as "bacterial SSU rRNA". It matches the Rfam family "Bacterial small subunit ribosomal RNA", at positions 355 to 776 of the family's 1533-position model. The record is from RNAcentral.
UAGGGAAUAUUGCACAAUGGGGGAAACCCUGAUGCAGCGACGCCGCGUGAGUGAUGAAGGCCUUCGGGUCGUAAAGCUCUGUCGUAUGGGACUAACACAAUGAAGGUACCAUGCAAGAAAGGAUCGGCUAACUUCGUGCCAGCAGCCGCGGUAAGACGAGGGAUCCUAGCGUUGUUCGGAAUUAUUGGGCGUAAAGCGGGUGUAGGCGGCUUUAUAAGUCAGGUGUGAAAUCCCAGAGCUCAACUCUGGAAGUGCACUUGAUACUGUUUAGCUUGAGUGUGGUAGAGGCUAUUGGAAUUCCUGGUGUAGUGGUAAAAUACGUAGAUAUCAGGAGGAAUACCGGAGGCGAAGGCGGAUAGCUGGGCCAACACUGACGCUGAGAUCCGAAAGCGUGGGGAUCAAACAGG